Molecule: ribosomal RNA, 990 nt
Filed under: Bacillus tequilensis
Lineage: Bacteria; Bacillati; Bacillota; Bacilli; Caryophanales; Bacillaceae
Description: bacterial SSU rRNA
Rfam family: Bacterial small subunit ribosomal RNA
Source: RNAcentral
GUGGGAAAAAUUACCUUUAGUUCUAUUCAUGUCGAGUCGAGCGGACAGAUGAGGAGCUUGCUCCCUGAUGUUAGCGGCGGACGGGUGAGUAACACGUGGGUAACCUGCCUGUAAGACUGGGAUAACUCCGGGAAACCGGGGCUAAUACCGGAUGCUUGUUUGAACCGCAUGGUUCAAACAUAAAAGGUGGCUUCGGCUACCACUUACAGAUGGACCCGCGGCGCAUUAGCUAGUUGGUGAGGUAAUGGCUCACCAAGGCAACGAUGCGUAGCCGACCUGAGAGGGUGAUCGGCCACACUGGGACUGAGACACGGCCCAGACUCCUACGGGAGGCAGCAGUAGGGAAUCUUCCGCAAUGGACGAAAGUCUGACGGAGCAACGCCGCGUGAGUGAUGAAGGUUUUCGGAUCGUAAAGCUCUGUUGUUAGGGAAGAACAAGUACCGUUCGAAUAGGGCGGUACCUUGACGGUACCUAACCAGAAAGCCACGGCUAACUACGUGCCAGCAGCCGCGGUAAUACGUAGGUGGCAAGCGUUGUCCGGAAUUAUUGGGCGUAAAGGGCUCGCAGGCGGUUCCUUAAGUCUGAUGUGAAAGCCCCCGGCUCAACCGGGGAGGGUCAUUGGAAACUGGGGAACUUGAGUGCAGAAGAGGAGAGUGGAAUUCCACGUGUAGCGGUGAAAUGCGUAGAGAUGUGGAGGAACACCAGUGGCGAAGGCGACUCUCUGGUCUGUAACUGACGCUGAGGAGCGAAAGCGUGGGGAGCGAACAGGAUUAGAUACCCUGGUAGUCCACGCCGUAAACGAUGAGUGCUAAGUGUUAGGGGGUUUCCGCCCCUUAGUGCUGCAGCUAACGCAUUAAGCACUCCGCCUGGGGAGUACGGUCGCAAGACUGAAACUCAAAGGGAAUUGACGGGGGGGCCCGCACAAGCGGUGGGAGCAUGUGGGUUUAAUUUCGGAGCACGUCGAAGACCUUUACCCAGGUUCUUGGACGA